Molecule: ribosomal RNA, 496 nt
Filed under: uncultured bacterium
Lineage: Bacteria
Description: partial 16S ribosomal RNA
Rfam family: Bacterial small subunit ribosomal RNA
Source: RNAcentral
GAUGAACGCUAGCGGCAGGCCUAACACAUGCAAGUCGAGGGGUAGAGGAAGCUUGCUUCCUUGAGACCGGCGCACGGGUGCGUAACGCGUAUGCAAUCUACCUUAUACAGGGGGAUAGCCCAGAGAAAUUUGGAUUAAUGCCCCAUAGUAUUAUGAAAUCGCAUGGUUUUAUAAUUAAAGUUCCAACGGUAUAAGAUGAGCAUGCGUCCCAUUAGCUAGUUGGUGUGGUAACGGCAUACCAAGGCAAUGAUGGGUAGGGGUCCUGAGAGGGAGAUCCCCCACACUGGUACUGAGACACGGACCAGACUCCUACGGGAGGCAGCAGUGAGGAAUAUUGGUCAAUGGGCGCAAGCCUGAACCAGCCAUGCCGCGUGCAGGAUGACGGUCCUAUGGAUUGUAAACUGCUUUUGUACGGGAAGAAACACUCCUACGUGUAGGAGCUUGACGGUACCGUAAGAAUAAGGAUCGGCUAACUCCGUGCCAGCCGCCGCUGUAA